This 682-nucleotide ribosomal RNA is filed under the name uncultured fungus. RNAcentral's name for it is "eukaryotic LSU rRNA". The stretch from base 141 to 295 matches the Rfam family "5.8S ribosomal RNA". The record is from RNAcentral. Lineage: Eukaryota; Fungi.
CCUUCGGGGGCAUGUGCACGUCCGAGCCGUUUAAAUCAACACCUGUUGAACUCACCGUAGGCCUUCGGGCUUAUGUAUCAUAUAUAUAUAUACUCAGAUCAUAGAAUGUACAUUUUGCCUUUAAAAAAGCAAUCAAAUACAACUUUCAAUAACGGAUCUCUUGGCUCUCGCAUCGAUGAAGAACGCAGCGAAAUGCGAUAAGUAAUGUGAAUUGCAGAUUUUCAGUGAAUCAUCGAAUCUUUGAACGCACCUUGCGCUCCUUGGUAUUCCGAGGAGCAUGCCUGUUUGAGUGUCAUUAAAUCCUCAACCCCGUCCGUCGGUCGGGGCUUGGACUUUGGAGCGUGCUGGCGAAGGUCGGCUCCUCUUUAAGUGCAUCAGCGGAGAAAAACAAACCUUUUUUCCCCCUUCAGCGUGAUAACUGUGUUGCGCUGUGGUCGCGAAAGGGUCCGCUCAUAAUCGUCCUCGGACAAACACCGAAUCUGUUUUGACCUCAGAUCAGGUAGGACUACCCGCUGAACUUAAGCAUAUCAAUAAGCGGAGGAAAAGAAACUAACAAGGAUUCCCCUAGUAACUGCGAGUGAAGCGGGAAAAGCUCAAAUUUAAAAUCUGGCGGUCCUCUGGCCGUCCGAGUUGUAAUCUGGAGAAGUGUUUUCCGCGUCGGACCGUGUACAAGUCUUCUGGA